RNAcentral lists this long non-coding RNA (4258 nucleotides) under Gallus gallus (chicken). RNAcentral's name for it is "lncRNA (ENSGALG00010008815.1)". Lineage: Eukaryota; Metazoa; Chordata; Aves; Galliformes; Phasianidae. The record is from RNAcentral.
UUAAAAAAAAAAAAAAAAAUCAAACGACAUAAUUGCCAGAUUAUAAAAUGCAAUUUAGAUCUUUAUCUGUCAAGAGAAAAGGCUAUCUGUUCCCAUUAUGCCAAUCCCAUAAAAAAAAAAAUGGUCCUAUGGUGGGCUUGAUAAAAUAAUGACUGGGGUCUACCAGACUGGGAAAUACGGCUGUUCUGUUGAUAUACGUACAAACGUAUAAACAACGCUUGCAAAUUCUGCUCGCAGUGGCCCUGUGGCAGCUCCCGCUGCUGUGUCGCAGCGUGGGAAUGGGCAAUGUUCUCCAGGUGGUCCGGGGAGCAGCGAACUCUUGCAGGAGAGCUCCCUUCCCCAUCUCUGGAUGGAGGUCAGCCUAUGUCAGCCACGUAGCAGGGAGCAGCGGGCACACUGGGGUAAGCCACUCUGCGGCAGAUGUCAUCCCUGCUCCAAAGAUAGUGGCAAAUUUGCCCUGGAUAAUGCAAUGCUGAACAAGAUAACUCUGCGAGCGCCAAGCAUUACCUCCUCCCCUGCUCGCAAAGCCAGCGACUUUGCACUGUGAAAGCAGCCUACUGUACUGCCUUGCUUAGAGGUCAUGUGCCCUAUUUUGAGAACUGAACCAAAGCGGAUGAAGUUUUGAGCCGCGUCCAAGUGAGGCAGCUGGGCAUUUCCCACUGCUCCCGGCCCCAGUGAAGCAGGCGGUCACAUGCUGUGAUGGGCAAGUCCUUCAGCUGAGAGUUAACUUUGAUGCUGCUCACCUCACCGGUGACUGCGCGAGAUGCGUAGCCGGCUGGGGAUCGCUUUUCAGAAGGACUGCAGCCAACUUUGGGUGGAUGCAGCGGAGCGGAGGUUGCUUUCCCAGUACCACUGGUGCCGGUGUCCCGAGAGCACUCCGCAGCCUGCCGGCUCCCCAGCUCGCUGCACUGAACACCUGGCUUCCUGGGCACAGCAAAAGUCUUCCAAACCCGACACAAGCCCUGGAAAAACAUAGAUGGAAAAACUGAAGCAGAAUAGUUGCAACUGAUGUGCCUGCAGUUGAAGGAUGGGGCCCCAUGUGAGUUAUGCAUGAUAUGAAGGCUGCCUUGGGACUCUACAUCAAUCUAUUCAUCAGCAGACUCCAGUGCAUUUUGGUGCUCAAGCUGAGAUAAUAACCAGUGAUCUACCACGCAGCAUGGAAGUUCUACUGUGAGUCAGUUUCCCCAAGUCAAAGCUGUUGGAUGACUGAUGCCCUGACUAAUUAAACAAGUAGCCAAGGUUCAUAAUUCUUGGACAAAUCCUGUCCCACCCAGAAGGCUACCCUGCCCCACCCAUUGUGAGCAAGAAAGCUCUUUGAUGUGAGGAAAUGGAGAGAAGGAAAUAACAUUUGUUUGAGAAAGUGAGAGCAAAUGGCAAUGUCAGGAUGAUGCCUACCCACUUUGACUCUUCUGAAGGAUGCAGAAGCCCCUAUGAAGGCACACAUCUGAUUUUUCAGGGCUACUGAAGGAUUGUUCAAUGGGCUGUAACAAGAAAACAAUUGCCAGUGCCAGUAACAGUAAUGACCUAGCUGGAAACUUCAUGAGGAACUCUGCUUUACUCAGUCUUGAGAUAACAGAGACAUGCCACCUGCAUGCACUACCUCCUUGCAUUCUGCCACCAUGUCACCAAUCCCUGACGGUAUCAUUCAGCUCUCUCUGACUUCAAAUAUAGUUCUUUGUGAUAGCAACAUCCAAAUCGCUUGAGAAACACCUGAGAGUCUUCUGUGGUUUAACAUAGUAUCAGGACUUGUUUAAGUGCUAAUAAACAUGGGUGUAAACACAUCGCAAGAGUCUCUUCCAGAACCCUUUCUGUGCACUGGUGAAACUUCCUGCCAUCUGCUGGAAGCUUGCCUAUCCUUUAGAGAUAGCUGUGAGCAGGGGGAAGGUACCAGACUAAGGGUGUACAGGGCAGUGAACCAAUGGAAUCUCACAGCCAAUAUUGGGCUGCCUGCCGUCAGCCACCAGAGGUGACAUUCACUCUACAAGAAAAAAUUAUUAAUGCUAACACCAUCCUGACUUUCUUCAGGAUCUCAUGGACAGAAAUUUAGAGGUUUAUUUCAAACAUUCAGCUUGGGUAAUCGCAAAUCUUACUUUUUAAUUCCAGAGGUCUUGGGAACAGUGCCAGAGCUGAGCUAAAGGGGAUAUCAUUCAUUAUCAGUAGUCUAACCUAUGCUGAGAGACAGAGUCCUCCAGCACCAGCAUGUCCAAAUUUCAGAGCAUGGUUCCUCCAUAACUCAAGAAGUAUGAGUUUCUUUUGUGAAAAAUUAAAGCACAGUCUGUGGUGUUAUAUGAACAAAAAUUUUAAAUUGUGGUACUUUCGCCAUCCACAUUUGAUUUGUUGAGUUGCAAUCAGGUGUGGUUCAUGAAAAGCAUAUAAACUAUGGAGGUGCUUCCACCAGCCAUCAGUACAAAGAAAUCACCAGUGUUUAUCAAUUUUUAUGCUAUAUUUUAAGAUGUCAUGCUAUCAUUACCUGGAUCUGUAAUGUAUCCAAAUCUCUUUUGGGGAAAAAAAAAAAAAAAAAAAAAAAAAGCCAGUAGUUCUAUCUUAGGCAUUCCAAUACUUUGCUCUUUAAGGAUAUAUGUGUAGACAGUGAAUAGAUCCAACUGCCGUGAGAAAAGAAUAGAUGCAUGCCCUGCCCUGGCCCAUUACCCUCUUAUUCAUUUCAAUACACUGCUUGAUUUGUAACUAUCACUCCUUGCUCAGCUAUUUAUUUUAUGGUAGCUCAUUGCAAUUCCUGUCAUUGCUUCCUCCUUAUUUUUCCAUUUUACCUGAUGCAGCUUGGCAUGUUUGAUAAGCGUAAGUGGGCCCAACUCAGUCUUGGCAUCUUCAAGCACAGUGCAACUGACAUCAGUCAGAGCCACUAAUAACAGGAUGGACUUGGCACCAUGGAUGCACUGCAGGUAUCAUUGCAAACCGAUGACUUCAUUUCUGCCUUUAUCUGUUUCACCCACCAUCAAGGCCUCAAAACCCAAACGUGAAAUUGUGCUUAGUUUCAAGAAACAUGAGAAUUUUCUUCAGUGUUUUCUACCUGUCUCUACUGCCACUCUAGCUUCAGAUUUCCAUUUCUCUUGGUGUUUUCUGCUCUCAUCAUGGGACUAUGUUUAUUCCCAUCCUCUAUGGUCUCAGCAUCAGGACUCGAGAAGAUGAGGCAGUUUGAGCUGUGCUGUAUUAUUUAUCUCACCUAUUUUCCCUUCAGCAAGAAAUGACUCUGAACUCUUCCUCCUUCCACUCUCCCCCAAAUUUCUCCUCUUCUUUCCUCAGUAUUAAGAGUCAGCAGAAGUAGAAAUCCUAGGUAUUCAAGUGGUGGCAGAGAUUUAUUUUUUUUAUUUGUUUUAAUUUUGCAUUACAUAUGUAUGUCUAUCUCUGGUAAAAGUAAGUUGUUUUUCUAAAUGAAAGGAUGCCCAAUAUGUUUAUCUGUUAAUUUUGAAUUCACAAGAAAAAAUGGAACAAAAUGCUACAACUGUUGCCAUCAUCUAGAAGGAAUAAAAAUUUCAGACUCUGGUCCCAGCUUUAUGCAUUUGAAAUGCAGAUUUCAGUAUUUCAGUGCUAGCUGUUUUAUAGGAAAUACAUAGGUAAAGCUUCUUGAAAGAAAUGAGGUACAUCUAUUUGCUUAAUCUCAGAAGAGAGGAAAAAUGAUUGUAAUGCUUCUGUUUUCAGAGUAGUGGAUCGAUCUUGCUUUAUUUUAAGAAUCUUUAAAUAUUGGAUUUAUCAGGGUCAUCGCAUAAAAAGUGGGAGAUUGCCGGGUGUGAUUUCCUCUCUUCUCUACAAUCUACUCUGCAGCAUCCAGGAGAAUAAGUUAUGUGAAAUAAUUAAAUUACAGCAAUAAAUGUUAGGCAUCUAACAUUGCUUUGUGAAAUUAAAGCAUAAAAGCAGGCACAGGAAGGGUAGAAAACAUAGAGAAAAAUCUGCAGAUUUUACAAGAGGUGUGGACAGAGAAGGGAGAACAAGGAAAUUGUACAGACUUUUAUCACAACUACUUAUGACUUUUUCUGGGGGUUGUAUUUCUUUGUAGUCUUCCUCUACCCUCUUGACUCUCCCUAUAAAGCAUUUUAUGAGACAUGUUAAGUAUUUUAUGUAAAAAAUAAGUUGUAUCACAUUGCACUGUAGGUCAAGGCAGGAAGGACACAUUGCCUGAAUAGCUUGUUAAUCUCUUUCAUCUUUCUCAUGCUGUCAUUAAUGCUUAUCUGUUCCCAUAGCUAUUGCAAAGUCAUCUGUUUUCUCCAGUGGCAUAGUGCAAUAAUAAAAUCUUUGAUUUGAC